RNAcentral lists this non-coding RNA (93 nucleotides) under Dyadobacter sp. Leaf189. RNAcentral's name for it is "SAM riboswitch aptamer (S box leader)". It matches the Rfam family "SAM riboswitch aptamer (S box leader)". Rfam says of the family: The SAM riboswitch is found upstream of a number of genes which code for proteins involved in methionine or cysteine biosynthesis in Gram-positive bacteria. The SAM riboswitch acts at the level of transcription termination control. RNAcentral also lists the same sequence under 1 other name. The record is from Rfam by way of RNAcentral. Lineage: Bacteria; Pseudomonadati; Bacteroidota; Cytophagia; Cytophagales; Spirosomataceae.
GAUUUAUAAAGAAGGAAGGGAGAGGUUAGGCUCUAUGAUCUUCUGGCAACCUAAAACUUUUAAGGUGCCCCAACCUAAUUCUAUUGAUAAAUC